Long non-coding RNA from Ostrea edulis (European flat oyster), 818 nucleotides. RefSeq lists it as uncharacterized. The transcript has 4 exons. NCBI's taxonomy places the organism in Eukaryota, Metazoa, Mollusca, Bivalvia, Ostreida, Ostreidae. The record is from RefSeq and is a predicted model, not a curated record.
GUAAAAAGGCCGAAACAACUUGCACCCGUUCAAACCCAUGUGAGAUUCAAUGAGGAGUGUAGUGGGGAAAAGAUUGGGAUGAUCCAAAUUUAUAUCAUUUAGACAUUUUAUAAGAUCUUACCGAACUUUCACAGGAAUAUGCAGAAGUAUUGAAUUAAAUUGAAUAAUGAAAUAAUAAACCGAAUUACCAAAGGAAUGAAUGUGAUUGCCGAACCGAAAUGCAUCAUGGGGUGUAAACAAGAUAAUCCGCCAAAAUGGGAGAACAAAGACAAAGGGAGAAAAGCCUGUAGAUAAAGGGAAAUACUGACCCCAGGAUCAUGAGCAUGGGGCCCGGCUAUGCCGAACUUGUAUAUGGCCUACUUGCAUUGAACGAUUGGUGCUAGAUGUAAACGGUGUACACACUCAGUGCCUAGAGAGUCUGAGACGUGUAGUGGGCUCAAUGUUUCUGUGACUUGUGACUGAGUACCAGCUUGCAUCAACCUAGUGUGUGGUUAUUUCAUCAAGGGCGGAUCUAAAUUUUCAAAGUUGCAGGCAGUGAGGCUCCCUGAAAGUGUUAGAGCUCAUACAUGCAUUAUGGCCCGUCAGUCCUGAGACUGGCAAACUAGUGUGUAAGAGAAAGCAUCUGAUCCAACAAGAAGAUCGUGUGGACACUGGCAGAGUUGUCAUUUUGAAAUGGCAACCAAUGCCCUCAGAAGAUGCAUACCAGAACUCACAUUGGAGAUACUUGAUAGCAGAAGCUUUGGAUAAGAGUUGCCUUGGAGAUGAUUAUUGACGAAAUACCUAGUUUUUGAAAAAAACAAUGCGUUAUAGGAAAUACG